This 71-nucleotide transfer RNA is filed under the name Ictidomys tridecemlineatus (thirteen-lined ground squirrel). RNAcentral describes it as "Spermophilus tridecemlineatus (thirteen-lined ground squirrel) tRNA". It matches the Rfam family "tRNA". Rfam says of the family: Transfer RNA (tRNA) molecules are approximately 80 nucleotides in length. The record is from Rfam by way of RNAcentral. Lineage: Eukaryota; Metazoa; Chordata; Mammalia; Rodentia; Sciuridae.
GUGGUUGUGGCUCAGGGGUAGAGCGCUCGCCUAGCAUGUGUGAGGCACUGGGUUCAAUCCUCAGCACCACA